This is a long non-coding RNA of Drosophila teissieri, 738 nucleotides long. RefSeq lists it as uncharacterized. The transcript is spliced from 3 exons. The record is from RefSeq and is a predicted model, not a curated record. Lineage: Eukaryota; Metazoa; Arthropoda; Insecta; Diptera; Drosophilidae.
GAAAGGCUGCGGCAGCGGCAGCGGAAAGAAAAAGAGAAAACAAAUGAUAUGUAACCAAAUUUCUUCCUGGCGGCCGGUCUGGUAAAAGAAAAAAACUGCAAAACUGGUCCACCGUGACCCACUAAAGCCUCUCUUUACUUUUUACUCGAAAAUCAGCCACCAAUUGCUGACUUUAACACCAACAUGGGUCGAAAGGUGCAAACGGACCCGCUCCAUUUUAUUAACUUUGCUUAAGCAACAUUUGCCCGCAACUUUCACUUUGCUGCAUAAAAAAAUCAAUCGAAGCAGGAAGAUAAGAUUGUAAUUAACUGGGGAAUUCUUUUAACUUGUUUAAUGUCAGCGUUUUUAGACUCUAGGUAAGCACUUAUUAAUAGUAGUUGACGAAAAGUGUUGACCAAAGUGGAAUCAGCACAAGGGUUAAGUUUGCGGCUCAGUGCGUUUUCGGCAACUAACAAGAUCAACAAAAAAGACUCAAUAAAAUACGACUGGCACGGCUUCAUUGGUUUUGCGGUUAAAAUGUUGCAACAAGAACUGGCAAUGCCACAAAAAUUGGACAACUGAAAACGCAGUAAAAGGAAUGAGUCGCAGCUUCAAAUACACUUGGUAUUUAUUGAAAAUUAAUAUACAACUUUAUAAUUCAUUUAAAAUUUGCAUAACUGAGCUAUGAAAUCUGAUGCUUCAAUUUCGUAACAUUCGCCCAGAGGAACCUUUAAAAAACCCAUAACCAUUGGACUACCC